Molecule: long non-coding RNA, 562 nt
Filed under: Homo sapiens (human)
Lineage: Eukaryota; Metazoa; Chordata; Mammalia; Primates; Hominidae
Description: HSALNT0097284
Source: RNAcentral
UGUCUUUAAAUGUCAGAAAAUGUUUGUAUAUAUCAGUGAGUUUUGAUUUUCGUACUCCAAACUUACUUUUGGUUCUUUUUUUUAAAAAACCUCUUCAGUGCAUUUGACUGCAACUAUUUUUUCCUUAAAGCUCUCUUGCCUGUCUCUAUUUUCUAAUUAUUUUCCCUCCUUCCUCCUGGCCACUCUUUUUUGGUCUCAUUCGUAUGUUCUUCUCCCCUGAUCCCUGCUCCUGGACACACAUUUUAAUUAUGUGAUAAACCUGAGUUUCCUCCUUCAACAUCCAUCUUACAGCAGGGCUUAGUAUAAGAACUAUUUGCAGAGCAAUAAGAACUUAAAAAUUGACAAAAAAAAAAAAAAAAAAAAAAAAAAAAGUAGAGUCAUCUCCUUCCCUCAAUGUAGAACCAAGCAAGUACAAAAAUCCUUCCACAAAAAUCCUUGUGCUAUACAUUCUCCCUAUUUGUGUAUAUUGUUUCAUCUAUAUUCUAGUAUCUCCAUAAUGCUAACCUCCAGAUCAUAACGUUCCUCUGGGCUUUGGGUCCAAAAAAUUCAACUACCUUUUAGG